GAGCCCUAGGAUGGCCUUGCCAU
This 23-nucleotide unclassified non-coding RNA is filed under the name Mus musculus (house mouse). RNAcentral describes it as "oocyte_clustered_small_RNA497". Lineage: Eukaryota; Metazoa; Chordata; Mammalia; Rodentia; Muridae. The record is from RNAcentral.